AAAGGGAGACCUAAUUCAGGUAAAAGACGAAAAAAAAGUAGUCGCUACCAAGAAUCAAUCCCAAAAGGUCGGAGCGAGGCGAAAUUGGCUUUCAAACUAGGUUCUGGGUUCAAACAAGACCUGAAUCAGGAACAAGGGCUAUUAGCUCAGGUGGUUAGAGCGCACCCCUGAUAAGGGUGAGGUCCCUGGUUCGAGUCCAGGAUGGCCCACCUGCACAGGUGGCAAAAACAAGAGAAGCGAGGAAUCAGCACCUUAUUUUACUUAUAUAGUAAGAGAGAAUGCUGGCUCUGAGUAAAGAGUCCAGAGGAACCUUGAAAACUGCAUAGAGCUAGGUGAAAAAGCCAAAAAAGAAGACCGCAAG
RNAcentral lists this transfer RNA (361 nucleotides) under uncultured Microcystis sp. RNAcentral's name for it is "partial 16S-23S ribosomal RNA intergenic spacer". The stretch from base 136 to 209 matches the Rfam family "tRNA". Lineage: Bacteria; Bacillati; Cyanobacteriota; Cyanophyceae; Chroococcales; Microcystaceae. The record is from RNAcentral.